Molecule: long non-coding RNA, 2228 nt
Filed under: Gallus gallus (chicken)
Lineage: Eukaryota; Metazoa; Chordata; Aves; Galliformes; Phasianidae
Description: long non-coding RNA NONGGAT006476
Source: RNAcentral
UGCGUCCCAAGGACGGCUGCCCCCUUCAUCCUCGCUUCUGAAAUGCUCCUUUGCCCAUGGCUACGUUCCCCUGUCCCCAGAGCCACCUCUCGUGGAUCCCGCAUCCCUAAUUCUCAGUAGUACCACUGCUUCCCCAAAUCCCACUUUGCUGCAGCAGGUCUGGGCAAUCCCCAGCAUGUGGUCACACCUUUGCUAGAUCCCUUUUCCAAACUCCAUACUCUUCUGUGCCUUCUUUGCAGAUGCCAUGGAUCUGCCCCGGCAAGACCUUCCCCCACUAUGCUUUUGAAUAACGUUGCUUUUGUAUGGCGAUGUUUGCCUUCAUCCCCACUUCUGCACAUCCCUCAUCUGCUGCUGUUGUAUUCCCAAGCUUGGAGGCUUGCGAGUCAGUGAGAAGAGAGAACAAGAGACACCUGCAGAGAAUGAUUCAUUCUGUGCCUGUUCGACACCGCUCUGGAUGGAACAAGUCUCCUUGCUGGGUGUUGUCUCUCCCCAUCAAUUCUCAGCAGAAGCUAGACAACCAGUUCUGACCAGAAGCCUGACUUACGGGUGCCACGUGAGAUGAAUUGUACCACAGAUGACUAAUUUUUCUCAUUCAUCAUACCUGCUUUUGGCCUAUAGAAGUUGGAAAUCCUGUCCGGUUACAGCUGUCCAAAUCCUUCAGCUCACACCAUUACCUGCUGUAAGUGCUGCCUUGGGGCUGACCGCCUGCUCAUAAAGGAGCGGCGUACUGCCUUAGUGGUUCCAGCAGGGUAGUGGAGGGGAAUCGUGUGCCAUAUCUUCCUGCUUUCCAAUCCAAGAUGCCAAAGUCUACCGGAGCACACAGUUGACUAGUAUAAAAUGAUACAUGCAGACCAGAAGUGGAAUACAUAUUGAUCAGAAGUUGAGUACGUGCUGACAAACCACCUCAAAAAAAACACAGUAACUGCUCUGAUUUAACACAGCAGUUGGCUGGAUCCAUAUGGAGCUGAUGAACCUCUGAAUGAAUAGUGAAUGGAAAAACUGCUGGAAUCUGCCUUCAGCUUUGUUCCCAGGAUGACCAAUGUAAAAGGCCUAAGAGCAAUACUGCACAGAUGGUGUAAAGAGGUUUAUGAGCAAGCAAGAAGUAAAGUGGAAUCAACAGGGAUGUUGUGAAUGGCUUUUGUAGUCCUGCUGUCACUGGGGAAUCAUGCACGUCUGCCGGUCCUGAAGCAUUUCUUGGUUGUUUAUGAGGGCUGAAAUCACCUCCUUUCAAAUUUACCUUUUGGACUCUGCACCACUGUGGUUAGCACCGGGCUGUAUAUCUGAGCUGAAAGACAACACCUCCAGCAAUACCGUGUCCUUGGCACUGUGUGGCUUCAGGUCUGACUCAGAUGGAUAAACGCCUUUGGAGGAGUGACUUGAAGUGUAAACCACACUAUCUGCUUUUAAUCUUGGAUUCUUUCCAGCUCCAGAUUUCACAUCUCUGUUACAGGCCAACAAACAGCCCUGGGAUCCAAAAAAAUACCUUUGCAACCACGCUCUAAUAAAUAAAUCUCUUUCUAUUGAUACAUACCUCUGAUAACUUCUACUGCACAGUGAAUACAUUGAUGGAUGUAUAUUAAGUGGAAAUGAAACAAUGCACAUUGCUGUGUGUAUUCAUUGUUUUUAGCAAUUGUUUGUUCAGUGAAAUAAGAUUUCACCGAGCAGUUAAGGAUAGUUUAGCUAUGCUUAACUUUUAUUAAUAAAAUUAGUACCUGAGGUGGAAUGAUUUCUUAGCAUCAACCCAAAAUAGCAGCAGGCAGAGCAGGUACAAUAGACAUUGUCACAAGGAUUAUAGUAUUUACACUCUGCUGAUGGUUACAAGUUCUUGAUGACAAACCAGAUUGUAUUAUAAAAUGCUAAAUUAAGAAAACAUCACACAUAACUUUAUUUUCCAUAAUUUUAAAGCAGGUUUGCGUGAAAAACAUUCACUUCUUUUUUCUUGAGAAUAGCCAUUACACAGCCCCGUGCUCUGAUCUUUUCUGCUUCUUUCACUUCGCUUUGCUUUUGCUCUUAUUCAGAACACAAUAAAUGUCACCAAUUUCUGUACACCUGGUGUAUGAAGAAGACAAAUACAAUAUUCAUCAGAGUGCCAUGUAGGCCUUUUUCUACCUCUGCCACUUUUUCGGGUAAAUUCUACUUAGCAGCUCAUUUCUGUUAAACCUUGGUGGUUUACAAUAACCUGGAGAUCCUCCUUAAGUGCUAGCAAAUGACUUAAAAAUAAACAAGAG